AUUGAACGCUGGCGGAAUGCUUUACACAUGCAAGUCGAGCGGCAGCGCGGGGGCAACCCUGGCGGCGAGCGGCGAACGGGUGAGUAAUACAUCGGAACGUGUCCUUGAGUGGGGGAUAGCCCGGCGAAAGCCGGAUUAAUACCGCAUAAGCUCUGCGGAGGAAAGCGGGGACUGGUAACGGCCUCGCGCUGUUGGAGCGGCCGAUGUCGGAUUAGCUAGUUGGUGGGGUAAAGGCCCACCAAGGCGACGAUCCGUAGCUGGUCUGAGAGGAUGAUCAGCCACACUGGAACUGAGACACGGUCCAGACUCCUACGGGAGGCAGCAGUGGGGAAUUUUGGACAAUGGGGGCAACCCUGAUCCAGCCAUUCCGCGUGAGUGAAGAAGGCC
Molecule: ribosomal RNA, 387 nt
Filed under: uncultured bacterium
Lineage: Bacteria
Description: bacterial SSU rRNA
Rfam family: Bacterial small subunit ribosomal RNA
Source: RNAcentral